CGGGACGGGUGAGUAAUGUCUGGGAAACUGCCCGAUGGAGGGGGAUAACUACUGGAAACGGUAGCUAAUACCGCAUAACGUCGCAAGACCAAAGAGGGGGACCUUCGGGCCUCUUGCCAUCGGAUGUGCCCAGAUGGGAUUAGCUAGUAGGUGGGGUAACGGCUCACCUAGGCGACGAUCCCUAGCUGGUCUGAGAGGAUGAUCAGCCACACUGGGACUGAGACACGGCCCAG
This 233-nucleotide ribosomal RNA is filed under the name uncultured bacterium. RNAcentral's name for it is "partial 16S ribosomal RNA". It matches the Rfam family "Bacterial small subunit ribosomal RNA", at positions 100 to 334 of the family's 1533-position model. The record is from RNAcentral.